AUCCACCCCGGUAUUAACAGGUCGUUCGCGCGAUCAUUCUAGCUUGCUAGACUGAGAUGAGUGGCGGACGGGUGAGUAAAAGAAAGAACCUGCCUUUUGGUGAGGGACAACCAUUGGAAACGAUGGCUAAUACCUCGUAUUGCUGAGAAGUGAAAGAUGAAAGUCGCCAAGAGAUGGGCUUGCGGCUGAUUAGCUAGUUGGUGGGGUAAAAGCUUACCAAGGCGAUGAUCAGUAGCUGGUCUGAGAGGAUGAUCAGCCACACUGGGACUGAGACACGGCCCAGACUCCUACGGGAGGCAGCAGUGAGGAAUUUUCCGCAAUGGGCGAAAGCCUGACGGAGCAAUGCCGCGUGAAGGAUGACGGCCUAUGGGUUGUAAACUUCUUUUCUCAGAGAAGAAUUUUUGACGGUAUCUGAGGAAUAAGCAUCGGCUAACUCUGUGCCAGCAGCCGCGGUAAGACAGAGGAUGCAAGCGUUAUCCGGAAUGAUUGGGCGUAAAGCGUCUGUAGGUGGCUUAAAAAGUCUCCUGUCAAAGAUCAGGGCUUAACCCUGGGCCGGCAGGAGAAACUCUUAGGCUAGAGUUUGGUAGGGGCAGAGGGAAUUCCCGGUGGAGCGGUGAAAUGCGUAGAGAUCGGGAGGAACACCAAAGGCGAAGGCACUCUGCUGGGCCAGAACUGACACUGAGAGACGAAAGCGAGGGGAGCAAAAGGGAUUAGAUACCCCUGUAGUCCUCGCCGUAAACGAUGGAUACUAGAUGUUGGAUAGGUUAAAGCAUUCAGUAUCGUAGCUAACGCGUGAAGUAUCCCGGCCUGGGGAGUAUGCUCGCAAGAGUGAAACUCAAAGGAAUUUGACGGGGGCCCGCACAAGCCGGUGCAGCAUGUUGAUUUAAUUCCGAUGCAACGCGAAGAAUCUUUACCCAGUACUUGACAUGUCUACUCUUGCAUGAACGGGCAAGGUUCCAGGAGGUGGGAAACCAC
Molecule: ribosomal RNA, 975 nt
Filed under: Prochlorococcus sp. EGEMACC 6
Lineage: Bacteria; Bacillati; Cyanobacteriota; Cyanophyceae; Synechococcales; Prochlorococcaceae
Description: bacterial SSU rRNA
Rfam family: Bacterial small subunit ribosomal RNA
Source: RNAcentral